Phthorimaea operculella (potato tuberworm) is the source of this 72-nucleotide non-coding RNA. Lineage: Eukaryota; Metazoa; Arthropoda; Insecta; Lepidoptera; Gelechiidae. The record is from the annotation of a GenBank genome assembly.
GCAUCGAUAGCUCAGUGGCAGAGCGGUGGGGCGUUUACCCAUGCGGCCCGGGUUCGAUUCCCGGGCGAUGAU